AUGGCGGGAUUGUUGUUAGGAAAGCAGCCGACAGACGAACCACCCUCCAGAAAGGGCAAACAUACUACUCCCGACUGGACUGUUCCCGCCAACCGCCCGAGCAAACUGCCGCGCCACGCCGCUGCUCCCGGCUCCGCCCCCGCGGCGUCCGAACGCCGCUGGCACGCGGGGAACGAUGGCGCCCGGCAGCUGAGCCCUGAGGGAGGUAUACCUCAGCCAGCCGAGGCGAUUCCCUGCUUUGGCGGGGAAUGCGUCCUUCCGCUUUUACCAGUGUUUCUUAGAAUGCAGUUGGAGAAACAUUACAAAACCAGGAUACGUUCCCUUUCCUUGAAUUUGUGAGACGUGCAGCUCGUUUUCAGAGUACUCUCUCACCCUCCCACUUUUGCAGUUCAUGAGCGCUGGUCUUUUGAAGCCUAGGUAUGCCACCUUCCCUUGUCUAUGAACUAACACAGGCUCACGAAAUCGUUUUUCUACGUUGUUAAUUACGUUGUAAUCUUUAGUUGCAAUUACACGUUAUAGGCUGGAGAGGGUGUAAGAGGGCCUGUUUCUGUACUGUUUACUUCCCAGAAGAGGAGGCAUCCUGAGAAAACUAUUGAUGAACCCUGAGACCACAGGGAUGGAAGAGGGGAGAAAGCUCUUGAGCCGGUUGUGCUACCUACUUCAAUAUUUAUUUCUCACUUUCCAUAGCUCCCUCACAAGCCAUUAUAUUAAUUUUCCCGUGUCUGUGCUAUACUUUUUUUUUUUUUUUUUCCCCCAGAGGACACUGUUCAAAUGCUAUUCACUUCAAGAGCUGACUAAAAGGUGGAGUUGUAUGGAGUUUUUCUUAUAUUAAAAAAUUUUCAUUCCAAAGAUCUCCAAGGUGAUUUAUUAAAAAAAAUAAUACAAGUAUUAAUUGAUUCAGCUUCAAAAUUCCUUCAUAUCAUAGAUGUGUAAUAUUUUUUUAACUCUUCCUUUUUUUUUUAAAUAUACUGGAGGACACAACAAAUGACUUGUCCUAGGUAUACCUCAUUUUGCGUCAGAACCAAAGUCUGUGGUAGACCUAAGAAAAGACUGAAGAGAUAUCUUUGUUCACAAAAUCAGUUCUGUUCUGAUAUGCUAUGUGCAGCAAUAUAGGAUGGGGAAGAAGAGGAGAUAAUGGGAAGUAGUUAACAUAUUGAUUCAGUUAAGAAGGUGGUCUUGCUUUCUAAUUUUUUUCCAUCCAACUUCUUUUCAGGCACAUGUGUAGGAAAAACAUGGGGGAAAAAUAUUGUGCCUGGAAGUCUAAUGUGGGAUAUAGGCUGGGUGAACAUUUCAGCCUUAACUGAUGUGCAUUCUUCUUUGCUUCAUCUUCCAUUUCCUA
Molecule: long non-coding RNA, 1339 nt
Filed under: Numida meleagris (helmeted guineafowl)
Lineage: Eukaryota; Metazoa; Chordata; Aves; Galliformes; Numididae
Description: lncRNA (ENSNMEG00000010310.1)
Source: RNAcentral